RNAcentral lists this ribosomal RNA (497 nucleotides) under uncultured bacterium. RNAcentral describes it as "partial 16S ribosomal RNA". It matches the Rfam family "Bacterial small subunit ribosomal RNA", at positions 28 to 507 of the family's 1533-position model. The record is from RNAcentral.
GAUGAACGCUGGCGGCGUGCCUAAUACAUGCAAGUCGAGCGAACAGACGAGGAGCUUGCUCCUCUGACGUUAGCGGCGGACGGGUGAGUAACACGUGGAUAACCUACCUAUAAGACUGGGAUAACUUCGGGAAACCGGAGCUAAUACCGGAUAAUAUAUUGAACCGCAUGGUUCAAUAGUGAAAGACGGUUUUGCUGUCACUUAUAGAUGGAUCCGCGCCGCAUUAGCUAGUUGGUAAGGUAACGGCUUACCAAGGCAACGAUGCGUAGCCGACCUGAGAGGAGGAGGGGGAGGACGAAGACGAAGAGACGGGAGAGAGGCAAACAGGGGGAACAAGGAGGGAAGGUAGCGGAAUGGUCUAAGGACAGAAGGAGUAUCGCAGAGGGAAAGAUGAAGGUAUGAGAAUAGUAUAAAGCUGGAGAUAGGGAAAAAAAAAAGCGCAAGGAAAGACGAACAUCCAGACGCCACGUAAUCAGAAAGCGACGGCUAGUCACGAC